RNAcentral lists this ribosomal RNA (495 nucleotides) under uncultured bacterium. RNAcentral describes it as "partial 16S ribosomal RNA". It matches the Rfam family "Bacterial small subunit ribosomal RNA", at positions 28 to 507 of the family's 1533-position model. The record is from RNAcentral.
GACGAACGCUGGCGGCGUGCCUAAUACAUGCAAGUAGAACGCUGAAGGAGGAGCUUGCUUCUCCGGAUGAGUUGCGAACGGGUGAGUAACGCGUAGGUAACCUGCCUGGUAGCGGGGGAUAACUAUUGGAAACGAUAGCUAAUACCGCAUAACAGUAGAUGUUGCAUGACAUUUGCUUAAAAGGUGCAAUUGCAUCACUACCAGAUGGACCUGCGUUGUAUUAGCUAGUUGGUGAGGUAACGGCUCACCAAGGCGACGAUACAUAGCCGACCUGAGAGGGUGAUCGGCCACACUGGGACUGAGACACGGCCCAGACUCCUACGGGAGGCAGCAGUAGGGAAUCUUCGGCAAUGGACGGAAGUCUGACCGAGCAACGCCGCGUGAGUGAAGAAGGUUUUCGGAUCGUAAAGCUCUGUUGUAAGAGAAGAACGAGUGUGAGAGUAGAAAGUUCACACUGUGACGGUAUCUUACCAGAAAGGGACGGCUAACUACGUG